Molecule: non-coding RNA, 1519 nt
Organism: Triticum urartu
Lineage: Eukaryota; Viridiplantae; Streptophyta; Magnoliopsida; Poales; Poaceae
Source: RefSeq, a predicted model, not a curated record
GAGGAGGGGGAGUAGGAGGAGGGGUAGGGGGAUGAGGAGGGGGAGUAGGUGAGGCAGAAGGAGGCGGCGGACGGGGAGUACGUAAAGCAGCCCGGAGUAGAGCACCUCUUUCUUCUCCUGGACCAUCUGAUGCAGUGCUUCGCCGAGCUCAGGAGGAGGAAACAGAGGAUGGGGAUGAGGCGAGUGAGGAGGAGGACGAGGAGGAUUUUGUGGAGGAGGUGGUGGAGGAGGAGGAGGAGGAGGUGGUGGAGGACGCCGCCGCCGAGAGGAGGCUGGUUGUUUGUCAGGUUUCUGAGUGUGGGGAUGGACCCUCACGGGUGACAGAGCACCAUGAGGUGAGCGGCUCACAACCGAGCGGUUUGACUAUCAGCACUACUUUAGAGGGAAAGCGUGGUUGCGUGGUCCUUCAAAGCUUCCAAGACGUCCAUAUGUGCAUAGAGACGUGUUGAUUAAACCAAUGGGAGAGAAGUAAGUGGUUAUCUCGACUCAUCUCGUAUAAAUUGUACCUUUUGUCAUUUCCUCAUAUAUAAUAUGACUUCACGCUUCGUAAUGCAGAAGCUUAGUAAAAGGUGGUGAGAGGCGUCUGCCACGGUAGCCGAGUGGCAUCAUUAGGGUCUUUGUAGGUUAAAUUAUCCUGGACUGGUCACUUUGCCGAACGGUAUCAUUGAGCCAUCUUGGUCAUGGGAUCACUACAAACUUGCACCGGAUUUCCUGGAUAUGCGUCAGAGGGUUUAUGAUAAUAGAGCCAUGCGAGUGGUCAACGAUUUCUGGGAUUUCUAUACAUGCGUUGAGGGUCAGAAGGAUCGUGCAAAUGUGAUGGUUGAGAAUAUUGCCAAGAAACUAGUCCACGACAUGCACUAUGAGGAGCGCGUCCGGUUAGUGGUCAAGUAUCACGCGGACUAUCUCAACCAGAAGAUUUCCAAACAGGAGGCUCGAGGGAAGCAUCUUUCAUGGGACAAUUACUUCAAAGAAGGUGAUUCCUCGGUGGUGCACUGACAAACGUCCGUGCUGGGAGAAUAUCGUCAAACGGUGGACAGAUCCAGGGUGGCAGGAUGAACACAAAGCAAUAUCUGAACGACGUAAGUUGAUGGGCUGUCGAGGACACCGUCAAGGCAAACUCACCAUCCUAGGUGUCGUCUCAAAACAUAAAGAAGACACUGGCAAUGAUAUCACUUACUUCGAUGCAUGGACCAUCAGACGUACCAAAAACGACAAGGACAAGGACCCUCUCCACCCGAAGAGGGACUGGAUCAGCUCUAAAGCCCGGUCAGAUGGAGAGAACUACACCGAAAAAUUGAAGGAGACGUACGGGCCUGACGCUGAUCCUCACGUGCUACCGUUUGACCCUCUUGUGGCCAUUGUCGCGGCAUGCGGUAGACCGAAUGGCCGGAUGGCGGUUCACCUUGAUUCUGUCAUAACCUUCUCCCUUCCGAGAGUCAACACGCUUCGUGCUAUGAGUAUUGGCUCUACUCCUACCGUAGAGCGUCACAUACCACAUUUCAUGAGCAUUAUUGAGGAU